Molecule: ribosomal RNA, 434 nt
Filed under: uncultured bacterium
Lineage: Bacteria
Description: bacterial SSU rRNA
Rfam family: Bacterial small subunit ribosomal RNA
Source: RNAcentral
GCAGAACGCGAAGAACCUUACCUGGGUUUGACAUGGCCGACAAACCGGCAGAGAUGUCGGUCCUUCGGGGCGGUCACAGGUGGUGCAUGGCUGUCGUCAGCUCGUGUCGUGAGAUGUUGGGUUAAGUCCCGCAACGAGCGCAACCCUCGUUCGAUGUUGCCAGCGGUUCGGCCGGGGACUCAUCGAAGACUGCCGGGGUCAACUCGGAGGAAGGUGGGGAUGACGUCAAGUCAUCAUGCCCCUUAUGUCCAGGGCUUCACGCAUGCUACAAUGGCCGGUACAAUGGGCUGCGAUACCGUGAGGUGGAGCGAAUCCCAAAAAGCCGGUCUCAGUUCGGAUCGGGGUCUGCAACUCGACCCCGUGAAGUCGGAGUCGCUAGUAAUCGCAGAUCAGCAACGCUGCGGUGAAUACGUUCCCGGGUCUUGUACACACCG